RNAcentral lists this long non-coding RNA (1201 nucleotides) under Astyanax mexicanus (Mexican tetra). Its description in RNAcentral is "lncRNA (ENSAMXG00005007561.1)". Lineage: Eukaryota; Metazoa; Chordata; Actinopteri; Characiformes; Acestrorhamphidae. The record is from RNAcentral.
CGCGCACACAGACCCCAGGCUACACAGUUGAUUCACACAGCGUCUCUCCCGCUAACCGUAAUAAACACUGCUGGGAAAAGUUCAGCUGCGCUGCCAUGGAGAACAAAACUCUAUUUUUUUUUUUAUUCAGACAAUUUGUUUUUUUUCCUCAGCAUUUCAUUUUUUACUCAGUAAUGGGGAGUUUUCCAAAGUACCGGUAGUUAAGUAUAUUACUUGUGUCAAAAUGAACUUGAGUAAAAGAAAAAAAAUAACCUAAUUUAAAAACUACUUUAAAAAUUACAAAUUACUCAUAAAAUCUUCUCAAUUACAGUAAUGUGAGUAAAUGUAAUUAGUUACUUUCCACCUCUGGUGCUGAGUUAUAGUUUUGCAAUGCUGCUAAUGAAGAUUAAAUAAAAAGAUGCUGUUUUUAACAGGUACAAGUUCUGGGCUGGAGUUUCCCUGUUCUAUUGGGACUUACAGUGGUGAUUUAGGACUGUCCAGUAAAGAGCAGUGUGUCCCCUGUCCUGCUGGACGGUACUGCGCUUCCUCUGGCCUUUCUUCUCCCACUGCCGACUGCUCUCCUGGCUACCUGUGCAUCCAGGGAGCCACUGUUUCACAGCCUCCUGGAGACGCUACAGGAAGAAGAUGCUCAGCAGGCUUCUACUGCCCUGCAGGAACCAAUCAUAUGCGGCCCUGCCCACCAGGAACAUUCAGCUCAUUAGAAGGAGCAGCAUCUUCAGAGGAGUGUCAGCCCUGCACUCCUGGUCAGUUCUGUGCAGAAUAUGGGUUGAGUUCCCCGUCUGGACCCUGCAGUCCUGGAUAUUACUGCACCCUCAAAGCCAGCUCCCAGACUCCUCACCAGAACAGAAGCACCGAGUUGAAAGAGCGUGCACAUUACCCGGAAGAUGAGCAUCUGGAUCUGGUUCAGAUCACUGGUGAUAUCUGUGCACGAGGACACUACUGUCCAAGUGGGAGUUCUCAGCCAUUGCCGUGCCCACCAGGGACGUUUCUGGGCCGGCGUGGUGCCGUCUCUGAGUCUGACUGUGUCCCGUGUCUUCCUGGCUUUUACUGCCCUGCCUGGGGGCAGAACUCUGUCGAGAUUGGCUGCCCUGAGGGCUGGUUCUGCCCUGCAGGCUCUGUCAUUGGACGUGAACCUGGUAGGCUCUUCAGAAACACCCGUCUGUUUUAAAUUAAGUAAAUCUAGCUAUUUAUAGACGCUCCC